RNAcentral lists this ribosomal RNA (549 nucleotides) under uncultured bacterium. RNAcentral describes it as "bacterial SSU rRNA". It matches the Rfam family "Bacterial small subunit ribosomal RNA", at positions 8 to 573 of the family's 1533-position model. The record is from RNAcentral.
AGAGUUUGAUCAUGGCUCAGGAUGAACGCUGGCGGCGUGCCUAACACAUGCAGGUCGAACGGACCUUUUACAGACUGCGAUUCGUCAAAGGAAGUUCAAGGUUAGUGGCGGACGGGUGAGUAACGCGUGGGUAACCUGCCUCGUAGAGGGGGAUAACAGUUGGAAACGAUUGCUAAUACCGCAUAAGCCCACAGGACCGCAUGGUCCAGGGGGAAAAGAUUCAUCGCUACGAGAUGGACCCGCGUUUGAUUAGUUAGUUGGCGGUGUAACGGACCACCAAGACGACGAUCAAUAGCCGGACUGAGAGGUUGAACGGCCACAUUGGGACUGAGACACGGCCCAAACUCCUACGGGAGGCAGCAGUGGGGAAUAUUGCACAAUGGGGGAAACCCUGAUGCACGACGCCGCGUGGGUGAAGAAGUUUUCGGAAUGUAAAGCCCUAUCACAGGGAANAAAAUGACGGUCCUGCUAAAAACCCCGCUACUACGUGCCACAGCCGNGGUAUACGGGGGCAAGCCGUAUCCGAUUUACUGGUGUAAAGGGANCNCA